This 460-nucleotide ribosomal RNA is filed under the name uncultured bacterium. RNAcentral's name for it is "partial 16S ribosomal RNA". It matches the Rfam family "Bacterial small subunit ribosomal RNA", at positions 338 to 795 of the family's 1533-position model. The record is from RNAcentral.
CCUACGGGUGGCAGCAGUGAGGAAUAUUGGUCAAUGGACGCGAGUCUGAACCAGCCAUGCCGCGUGAAGGAAGACUGCCCUAUGAGUUGUAAACUUCUUUUGUACAAGAAUAAACUGAGGCACGUGUAUCUUUCUGUAUGUACUUUAUGAAUAAGGAUCGGCUAACUCCGUGCCAACAGCCGCGGUAAUACGGAGGAUCCGAGCGUUAUCCGGAUUUAUUGGGUUUAAAGGGAGCGUAGGUGGUUUGUUAAGUCAGUUGUGAAAGUUUGCGGCUCAACCGUAAAAUUGCAGUUGAUACUGGCAGCCUAGAGUGUAGUUGAGGUAGGCGGAAUGCGUGGUGUAGCGGUGAAAUGCUUAGAGAUCAUGCAGAACACCGAUUGCGAAGGCAGCUUACUAAGCUGCCACUGACAUUGAUGCACGAAAGUGUGGGGAGCAAACAGGAUUAGAUACCCUUGUAGUC